UACGGAGGAUGCAAGCGUUAUCCGGAAUUAUUGGGCGUAAAGCGUCCGCAGGGGGCUAUGUAAGUCUGCUGUUAAAGAGUCUGGCUCAACCAGAUAAAGGCAGUGGAAACUACAUGGCUAGAGUGCGUUCGGGGCAGAGGGAAUUCCUGGUGUAGCGGUGAAAUGCGUAGAGAUCAGGAAGAACACCGGUGGCGAAAGCGCUCUGCUAGGCCGCAACUGACACUGAGGGACGAAAGCUAGGGGAGCGAAUGGG
Molecule: ribosomal RNA, 253 nt
Filed under: uncultured bacterium
Lineage: Bacteria
Description: partial 16S ribosomal RNA
Rfam family: Bacterial small subunit ribosomal RNA
Source: RNAcentral